Tetranychus urticae (two-spotted spider mite) is the source of this 1697-nucleotide long non-coding RNA. RefSeq lists it as uncharacterized. NCBI's taxonomy places the organism in Eukaryota, Metazoa, Arthropoda, Arachnida, Trombidiformes, Tetranychidae. The record is from RefSeq and is a predicted model, not a curated record.
AGGAAAGUAAAGACAAAGGAUCAACAGUUUUAAUUUAUGUUAAUUUAUAAUUGAAAUUUAAUUAGUUUUUUCCUUCAAUUUUUAUUACAAAUUUACUCGAUUCAGCUAUUUGUGCAAUUAUUUGUGUCUCGGUGUGUUUAAACCAUUCAAAUCAUCAACAUAAUUGUGAUAUCUCAUCAAUAAGCUUUCCUUAACACAUUUUGUCCUUCCUAUGUCUACUCUACAUUUUUCAUAAAAUGGUGCAACUAUUUUCUGGCAAAAUAAUGUCAACUUUUUUUCCUCGCAUCUUUACUAAAGUAAAUCUAGGGAAGACCUAAUUUUGGAGCAAAGCUUGGAUUACUUUGGUAACCGUUUGCAUGUGUAAUACAAACACAAAGUGAGAAACCAAAGAUGAUGCUUACUCAAUGCAGAUUGGUUUAUACUCUAGGUUGCCAAGUUAGGGGCAGAGUUAAAUAGGAUUGUUAACAUUUUACACUAAAGAAUCUCAUCACCAUUCAGGAUUUUUCUUCUUUACCAUCUUCAACAUCAUCUUUCCAUCUUUAUUUUUUUUCAUCUAAAUCUUCAAUAUUUAUCUCCUCUCUUUGCCUUCCCUUUCUUGUUUCACAAUGAAUAACAAAAUUCAUCUGCUUCAGCAAGAUAAUCCUGUUGUAAUUUUGAUUGUCGUCAAUCCAUUAAUCAACUUGUUGGAAAUCUUAAUUUUGAGGAUAAAGCUCUCUUUACCGUCAUCAAACCUUUUCUUCCCUCAACAAUCAACUUAAUCAACAUCGCAAUCUUGACUGCACUUUCAUUCUAAUAGUUGCCGGCUUCUUGAUCAGAGGCUUGAUUGAAGCUGAUGGUGACAAUGAUUAUAAUGAGUUAACAAAUAGGCACCAUUUUGUUACAACAAAUAACAUUGUUUCUUUUCAAUACACCCAACCCGAUAAACCACCUAGUUACAUUGUAAAACGGACCUGAGUGUUGUUUAUUACAAUAUUAUUAAUAAUCUCGUUAACGUUUGAAUGUCGUCGAAUAGAAGGAAAAGUGUUAAUACUAUUCAUUUGUGAUUUGAACUGAUUUUCUUAUACAAACCAAGAAUCAAUUAUAUCAUGAUGGAUUUUUUAGACACAGCUACAGAUUCAAGCCACAAAAAUGACCAGACACACCUUGCUAUACACCAACUCUGAAAGGAUUCAAGAUUGUUCAAUCAAUCAAUGGUUAAGUCUUUCAUGUCAAGGCCAAUUCUGGUGUUAAAGUUAACUUAUUGACAUAAUUGUGCUAUUACAAUUACAAUUAAGGAGAUUAAAUGACCAAAAAACCAACUAAUCCAAAUUCAAUGAAAAGUUUGCAGUUGAUUAGACAGAUUAUUACUACUGCCGGUGGUUGCUGAUUUAUUUCAAUAAUCAGAUCAACUUUCACAAGUGAAUUGCAAUAAAAAAGAUAACUUAUUAAACAUGCAAUAAGGUUAGCCUGACCACAAGUAAUACUGACACUUAAUGAAAUUUCACUGAUUAAAAGUAAAUCUAAGUUGCAUCCAAGUAAUCCAAUUUGGCUGGUUGACUGCAAGUAGUGGACAACAGAUGGUUACGGUGUUUGAAAAAUGGCAAUGUUAUUUGUUACCAAAUGGCAAAUCUGAUUGGCAAAUUGUCAAUCAUAAGCUUGCACAAAUUUUUGUUUACAACUGAUCAAGUGGUUUACAUUAUACUACAAAAUUUAACUUG